CUUCAGCGAACCGAGCCACAGCGGCCGGUCCCGGCCCUGCCCGUAGGUGUCGAUCAGCGCCUGCGCCUC
This 69-nucleotide antisense RNA is filed under the name Allokutzneria albata. RNAcentral's name for it is "Kibdelosporangium albatum ASpks TB sRNA". It matches the Rfam family "ASpks TB sRNA". The record is from Rfam by way of RNAcentral. Lineage: Bacteria; Bacillati; Actinomycetota; Actinomycetes; Pseudonocardiales; Pseudonocardiaceae.